AUCGGCUGUUAACCGAUCGGUCGCAGGUUCGAGUCCUGCCUGUGGAG
Molecule: transfer RNA, 47 nt
Filed under: Listeria ivanovii
Lineage: Bacteria; Bacillati; Bacillota; Bacilli; Caryophanales; Listeriaceae
Description: tRNA-Ser
Rfam family: tRNA
About the family: Transfer RNA (tRNA) molecules are approximately 80 nucleotides in length.
Source: RNAcentral